Molecule: long non-coding RNA, 7236 nt
Filed under: Spirodela polyrhiza (greater duckweed)
Lineage: Eukaryota; Viridiplantae; Streptophyta; Magnoliopsida; Alismatales; Araceae
Description: long non-coding RNA (SPOL_LNC002186)
Source: RNAcentral
CGCCGCCGCGAGAUCCUCUCCGGCGUCGCCGCCCCCAUCGCCGGCGGUUCAACGGCGCCUCGUCGAGGUCUCUUCCCGCCCUCUUUUGGCCUAUCCUUCUGGCUGCCGCAUCGAUUCUAUCGUUCACUCUCGCAGUGACGGUCAGAACCUUCAUCAGAAAGAGGUCGAGUUCCUCGGCGCCACGGACGCUCGCGCAGCUUCCAGGACAUUCCAAAGGACCGCAGAGCGGAUGGCUGGGUGGCUAUGGUCGUCAUCGCUUCUACCUCUCGUAUGAUAUCAGCAUCCUGUGCAUCGGCUCCGGAUGUUCGUUCGCAUUGGCCACGGUUAUUCCCUGCAUCCCGACGCAUCACUUGUUGCCAGCCUUCUCCGGCAGGGAGCCCGUAUUUGUUUGUUCCCCUUAGGCGGCUGUAAGCGACCAGCAUCUUCUCUCACCUGAUGGACGAUACGUCCCGGAUUGGCGGCGGGAAGAAUCAGUGAAAUGAAGGUGAUCAGGGCCAAACACUGCGAAAUCUCCAUUAAAAAGGUACAGUGAGCUUCGUUGCCGAUACAUGGGAGUUGAAUCCUGAAUUUUUCUCAUCGUUCUGCAUGAUUUGAUUCUAUGAGACAAAAUUGGGCAUUAGAAUAACAUGUUUGAUACAAAGAAGGAUCCUCGAAGUUCAGUCGCUCAGAUGCAAUUACAAGAACCAAGGGGUGCAUUAUAUUUAGAAAUAUAAUGUAUCCAUCCUCACGGAGAAGCUGAUCCGGAAUAGGGUUGACCAAAAAAUGCAGGGUGUGGGGAGAAAAAAAAUGACACGACUCCGCAUUGGGCACGGAAUCUCCAAUCAUCAUUUCCAAGUGGAAAAACUGCUCUUGAACAAGCUGAAGAACCGACCGAAAUUGCGUCGCUCCCUGGACUUUUAUAGAAAAAAACCUCCUCUGAUCUGAUCAGGUUUUCACUUCUCACCAGCUGCGAGAGGCUUCAUCUGCAAUGCAUUUUUAAGCGAUGUAAUAAGCGAUAUAAACACUUGUAGGAGCUGAUACUGACACAAACUUUCCCAAACAAUGACCACAACUUCCUCAUCAGUAAGUUUCACAUGCAUGAUGACCAUGACCAUGCAGUUUGAAAACCCACAUAGAACAGGUAAUGUUUGAAACCCCACAUAAAUGACUAUGCAAAAUCUGAGAUCAUGCGGAAUAAGUUUGGUAUUAGAAAAGCUUUCCCAUAGUUUUUUUUUAAUCGAAUUUAAGAUGACUUAUGGGAGACCAAAAUGAUCGUCAUCACCAUAUCAGUAAGAUAUAUAUAUUUUUUAAAGAGGACUUUGAAGGUCGUCUGGUGAUUAAUAAGAAGAAAAAAUUUAGUUUUGGUCCAGGGGUGGCAGCGCAAGCAAACCAGACUAUCACCGCUAGUCUAAUAACAUAUUAGUAAAUCUUAUUGCGAGCAUGCUUCAUGAGAGAAGAUUGGGGGGGAGCCAACUGGACAAGGAGUAAGAGAAAAACCAGAAGGAUAUCAGUCGGGACUUCAUCUCUCAUCUCACAGAAAAUAUUUACAGACCCCCAUCCCCAUCGCUUUGUGAAACUGCCAAUUCUGCUUAUUGGUUUAUUUCAUAUUAUCUAUGUAUAUAGAGCCCGUCGUACUUAUUUCCUUUCCUUCCUUCUCUUCUAUAUCUUAUUUUCUGCCCUCGGGUGAAUAUACCAUCAUUCCUUCACAGCCACCUUUGAAGGAUAUCUAGAAAAAAUGUACUAAUCUACGCAUUAACUUCGUUUCCACAACAUGGAGGAGUUUACAUUAUCAAGAAGAUUCCUCGAGUUGAAUUGAGAAAUCAUUUCACAAAAUCCGAUUCAUUGAGAACUACGGCAUCUUUCUUUGAUAUUUUCUGAAAAAAAAAAGAAGAGGGAAAUGGCUUCACGCUGUUUUCUUAUAAUAAUGGUGAUGAAGAGAUAUAUUCGCUCAUUUCCGCUAAUGGUUUCAUAAAUGAAAAAGGGUUAAAAGAUACGCUUGUAAUUGAAAAUGGAAUCAUCCCAAACCACGAAAAAGAUAUAUUGCCCAAGAGAAUCAGCUAAGAGGAGAAAGGUACCGAUUCUAAGUAUCUCAGCUGUUUCAGAACUUCACUUGUUUCCAGCUCCUACAAUGAAACAGCAUGAUAAAGACGAUUUUCCAAUUUAUCAAAAUUAAAAGAAGAGCAAGAUCUCAAACAUGGUCAUAACGAAGGAUGAUCAAGAGGAAACAGAUAAAAAUUAAACCGGAUAACUGGAACAUAUUACACGUAAACCUUUCACCAGACCAAGUUACAAUGGAAAAAAGUUUUCAUAAUGCUACAGUAUGUGAACAACAAUGCAACAACUAGUUCACAAAAUUCACAUAAAUUUUAAGCGCAAUAAAAGCUGAUUCCCAAAGAGAACACGGCCAACGGUCGAAUUGGAAAGCCACUCCCAGGAUAAAUCCCAGUUUGGGUUCAAAAGUCAACCGAUAUUUUACAACUUUCAAAGCUACGGUCAUAAAUAUCUAUAAUAUAAAGUUUAAAAAGUUUUUCAUCAAAAACAAUUCUCUGCCACCGUGUCAACCAAGAGUGUCAGGCAAUAGCCGAUGGUGGUAAAAGUCAUGGCAACUGUAUAGUUCUGCUCUCCACAGCAGAACCUGUUAUAGUACCAUUUUUAUUCAAAUGGAGCGAUCAUGAUGAAGACAUAACAUUGACUGGUCACAAGUCCCAUUACAUAAUUAUGAGCGCCGAAAUCACUUGAGAUAAGGGAGAUAAGUAGGGAAGGGGAGAGGAAGGAAAAUCAUCAAAUGGCUGACAACCCCACCCGAGACAGCCAUGGAAAUAUAUAUUCAAUUACGAGACAAGAAUGUCCCCGGUUUCAAGGACAAAUAUAAUAAAGAAAAAUCAAAAGGCAGCAAAAACGAUCAGUGCCCAAGCUACCCUGGCAAGGGAUAAUUAUUCCCUGCACAGCCACUGCAGAUUGAGCACAGAUAUCAUGCAUACAUAACUCAUGCGACACAGAAGAAACAGUGGAUUGUGCCAUCAUAGCCUUGGUAAAGAUAUCAAUUGAUCUGAUACGCACAUCAUUUUUUUUACUCUUCCGGGUAAUCAUAGUGGCUCAAAAAGAUAUACAGUGACCGCUAACGGACCUAAUGCAACCACAAAAACUAGCUCAACCGGCAUCAGAGUAACGCUCAAGUUUCAAAUCAUCGCCCUUAAAGGCCUUUACUUUACCAGGUCACACCCAUAUAGAACCAGCAAGAUUUUUCCCUUCAGGAGGAUCUACCAAUUUCCACGUACCAUUUACUGAAGCACUUAUGGGAAAAUGAUGCCGGAAAGAGGAAGCAUGUACGGCCUCUCAGUAAUAUUAGUAUGCUGCGGUUUGUUUAUAGGAGCAUGAGGAUCCACGUACUAUCCUCUGAUGUUCAAUCAACUCAUUCGCAGUGUUUGUAAAAGAGAGAAUGAGAGAAAGCAGUAAAAUGAAACGUGGCCAAAAAAAUAGCUCCAGGAUGAGAUACCAUGAAUAAAUAACUUUAGUAGAGAAAAUAAGACUAAGAGAAUGGGAGAGGAAAGUUGUCGAGUGGCCAACAACCCUACCUCAGCUCCCAAAAAGAAGUUCGUAAUCUUGUUCACGCCCCCUCUUAGUUAGAUACUUACACUUGUAGGACCUGCAACUGGCAACAGGAAAGGCUAGAUUCUUCUCCCUCUGUCGGAGAGGGUAGUACAAUGGGCAUUAUCACAAGGUCGGGUGAAGCUACUAAGCAGCCAAUGACAGCGAGAUUGGCCAGGAUUCUGGCCAAUUUUUCUUUUUUAUUUUCCCUUUUGCACCUAACAUUUAGGGGGAUGAGGAUUAGGUCAGGGACCCUUAAUCCCAGUUCAAACUAUAGUCAAUCUGUUUAUCUGGCCAUUGUCGAACAUCUACAUGCAGCUUUGCACAACCCUACCUAGGUGCAGGUACCAAGUCAGAGGCGAUGACGCCUGUUAAAUGGCAAGAUGUGUCUGCCAAUAGAUGUCUAGACUAUAAUAAAGGUGCAUAUCCACUCAGACACAAGGCAUCUAAGUACACUAAGAUGGUGAGAAAUUUCUGCAAACGAGAAUAUGCACCAGCCCUUGAUGGCGUAAUGGGCAAAGUUAUCACCCAAAUCUCCAUCCAUGUUCAUUGCUACAAAGAUUAUAUUGGAUUUAAACUAAAAAUAUUGACAUUGCAACGUAAAAAGCGCUUCAUGUUUGCGCACUUUCUGCUAAUGACCUUGUAAGAAUAAGAAUACAAUUGUUACAAUGCCAGAAGUUCACCUGGGGAACGGCACAGUCAGCAUGUAUUGGAUCCCAAACAACAGCACAGGAGCAAUCCCAAUCAUCAGUUUGAGGUAUCAAUAGAGGAGCUCUGCAAAUAUAAACAAAACAGGAAAUAUUUCAUUUUCCAGUGCUUGGAAUAGUAUGCACCGUCUAUAAAAAAAAUAUAUUCAAGGAUAAAGUUCGACAAAGGAAAAUGUGUAUGAUAAUGGGAAUAACCUAAAGAAAAAAAGGGAAUAUAUAGGAAACAAGAGACCAAUUGUCCGCUUGUGUCCAGGAAGAGGAUGAAACGAAUCAUCAGGCAAAGAAAGCUGGACGCUUUAUUUUCAUCCACUGCCAUCAAGAUUCAAUGCUAGUUGACGAAAAUCCAUCAAUUCCGACGAUUUAAAAUUAAUUUGGCAUCAUACUGCACAGGAAACCUUUUUGAAAGGGCUGAUAUUCAUCUUCAAUUUACCUUUCAAGAAGGAAUGAGAGUUCAUUUAGCAAGAAACGAUAUCAGUAAAGCUUUGGAUUUGCAAGUCGGUUUACCUGCGCCACUUUCCACAUACAGUUCCCUGUUCAUCCCCAUCUGUCACAUGCAGAAUCUUUCCUCGACACUGAAGCCAAUUGCUAGUUGAGCCAGAACUUGAUGAUUGACUCCAGCACUAAAAGUAAAAUGAAAAACGUAAAAAAUCCAGGAACUAUUCUACAGUGUUUUCCGCAAAAAUUAAUCAAAGAAUAGACCUUACAUUUAGGCUAUCCCGUUCAGUGGGAUUCAAUUCCAAAGGAUUACCAAAAUAAUCGUCAUCACUGUAAAAAAACAAAACAAAAUUUUAGAAAGCCUCAUGGAAUUCAUAACCCAUAAAGCACUAGAAAACAUAGACUGGGAAAUUCCAUGACUGGAUGCCUUCGGAAAAAAAUCCAUAGAUAAAAUAUGUACGAUAAAUCCAACUUAAAGAAAUAUGAAGUAAUUUUAAUGUCCUGUAAUCUAGCUAGUGGCCCUCAGCAGUGUCACUUACGAUAGACAUCUACAGAAUCAUAUUCACCCAUCAAUACUCUAGAAUUCAAAGAGAAAAGAGUGCAUCUCAUUGUGAUUACAAGAAAGCAGCAGGAAAACAGGAGUAAAAUAAAAUUAUAUAUAUUGGGACAAUACAAAAAGUAACUCAGGCCAAACGAUGGUGUUGAAUUAAAAAAAUCAACCUGAAAUUAGUGUGAUCCCGUGAAAAGGAAAAAGUAGAAUUCUUCCAAUUUUGAAAAAUCACACAUACAAGUCUCCCGUUGUAAAUUUGAAAUAUUAUCCACCAGACCUAAGUUUUUAUUAGCAUGCUCACUGUAUAAUUGUUUCACGUACAUCCACAUAAUAAAAAACUUAAAAUACUUUACCCCCACAAUACUGCGAAGGAAGGUUCCACAAUAUCAAAUCCUCUCCUAACUGACGUAGUACAAUGCCUCAAGAACAGGAAGUUACUAGGUUGAACUUGGCUUUGGCUGAAAUGCUGAGAGGGUCCGCAUCCAACCAGGAUUUCAUUACGUAUUGAAAGGAAUAUAAUUUAGUUUUAACGACAAUGAGUACGGUGAAUAAAUAUUCUCAAGAUGACGAGUCAGUAAAAAAGAAACUCAUAAAUCACAGAAUCUCGUAAAAUCUUUAAAAUUAUCUUAUCUCGUACAAAAAUGCAUGGUGAAAAAGACAUAAAAUGAAGAUCAAGGAAAAAGAAUUGGUAAAAACACAGCAUAAAUUUUUGAAACAAUACAUCAUAAAAGUCAUUAUUUCGUGGAAGUGAAGCAACGUUUAUAGAAUAAAAGUCAUUGUUUCUUCUGUCAAGGCUUCGAAAGACAACAUCCAUAAGAACCUCCAACGUGCUCAUUUAAUAUGACCUUAAUGAACAUGCACUAGUAAGUUAGGCAUAUUAUAAAAUGCAUCAAGGUAAGCCAAGACACCAGACCUGUCGAACCUCAUGUUAAAAUGAUACUUGACAACCUGAGUAAUGAAAAAAUUAGGAAUACAAAAAGAUCAUCAUAAAGUUCAAGCUCUUUAUACCAAUUGGAGCUUAAUUCUUUUAAAACUGAUGCAAUUCUGCAAAUUCCCUUUCAUAUUGAUGGAGAGAGUAGAAAAUCAACGCAAAAAUUACGUGCCAUAUUAAUAGUUUUUGUAAUUGCAAAGGGCAAUCACCAAAAGAAUGCUCCUUAUGUUUGCAAAAAGUUCAUCACGACAACGUAAUUAGGAUCCAAGAUCAGAUAACCCAAAUCAGCUCAUCUGAAGUGAUUCAGGAGAAAUCCUAAAUAUAUAAAAAAGCCUUAUACUAUGUUAGAAGUGUACUUAUAACUACUUUUAUUGAGUCUUUUAGUAAAAACGUUUAUAUGGAUCUGCCAACCCUUUUAUAACCCACCCCUUAAUUGAAUUAGCCAAUUCCUUGAACUAUGGGGUACAUAUGUGAGUUAUACUCGAAUAAAACAACAUGAGUUUUUUUAAAUUGCAAUCACAACAUUCGAGCAAUCGGUAAAAAUUGACUGAAAUCACGAGACACUGAGAUUCCCACUUUUCCAAAACAUGAUCACAGCUUUAUUACUAGAAUGGAAAAUGGGAAUGUACAAAAAACUCUUGUAUAACAAUUCAUAUGAAAGUGUGUCCCAGAAAUAGAACCUAUAAGCACAAAACAAGAGGUGGCAAAUAGUAACAAGUAUAAUUGUAAAUCAGGAAAGAAAGGCUACUGCUUGGCAAGAAUGAAGAAGACAGCUGGUUGUAAAAACAUACUCAGAAGUUGGCCCAGCCCAUUCAGGAACUUUUGCUUGAAAAUCUUCGCCUAUUUUGACACCUGAAGUGUACGGUUCUGUGUCUUCUAACAUGUAUAAAAUUGGACCUAACUUCUCUUGUAACAUCUCUUUCCUCUUCUUUUCGCUCAUGACAUAAAAUAACUUUUCUGAGAGAGUCUCUGGUGGUACCUUUGGUUUCUUACUCAGACAGGGGUGACAGUACCAUUCGUCAACUGGAAGUUUCUUCACCUUACAA